CUACGGGUCGCUGCAGUGAGGAAUAUUGCACAAUGGGGGAAACCCUGAUGCAGCAACGCCGCGUGGAGGAUGACGCAUUUCGGUGUGUAAACUCCUUUUAUGAGUCAAGAAAAUGACGGUAGCUCAUGAAUAAGCACCGGCUAACUCCGUGCCAGCAGCCGCGGUAAUACGGAGGGUGCAAGCGUUACUCGGAAUCACUGGGCGUAAAGGACGCGUAGGCGGGCUUGUAAGUCAGGUGUGAAAUCCUACAGCUUAACUGUAGAACUGCACUUGAAACUACGAGCCUAGAGUAUGGGAGGGGCAGAUGGAAUUAGUGGUGUAGGGGUAAAAUCCGUAGAUAUCACUAGGAAUACCGAAAGCGAAGGCGAUCUGCUGGAACAUUACUGACGCUAAGGCGUGAAAGCGUGGGGAGCAAACGGGAUUAGAUACCCCGGUAGUC
This 439-nucleotide ribosomal RNA is filed under the name uncultured bacterium. RNAcentral describes it as "partial 16S ribosomal RNA". It matches the Rfam family "Bacterial small subunit ribosomal RNA", at positions 339 to 795 of the family's 1533-position model. The record is from RNAcentral.